RNAcentral lists this ribosomal RNA (383 nucleotides) under uncultured bacterium. RNAcentral describes it as "bacterial SSU rRNA". It matches the Rfam family "Bacterial small subunit ribosomal RNA", at positions 125 to 507 of the family's 1533-position model. The record is from RNAcentral.
UCUACCUUCACAGAGGGAUAGCCCAGAGAAUUUGGAUUAAUACCUCAUAGUAUAGCAGUUUCGCAUGAAACCACUAUUAAAGUCACAACGGUGAAAGAUGAGCAUGCGUCCCAUUAGCUAGUUGGUAAGGUAACGGCUUACCAAGACAAUGAUGGGUAGGGGGUCCUGAGAGGGAGAUCCCCCACACUGGUACUGAGACACGGACCAGACUCCUACGGGAGGCAGCAGUGAGGAAUAUUGGUCAAUGGGCGCAAGCCUGAACCAGCCAUGCCGCGUGCAGGAAGACGGUCCUAUGGAUUGUAAACUGCUUUUAUACAGGAAGAAACCCUCCCACGUGUGGGAGCUUGACGGUACUGUAGGAAUAAGGAUCGGCUAACUCCGUG